Molecule: transfer RNA, 126 nt
Filed under: Strongylocentrotus purpuratus (purple sea urchin)
Lineage: Eukaryota; Metazoa; Echinodermata; Echinoidea; Camarodonta; Strongylocentrotidae
Rfam family: tRNA
About the family: Transfer RNA (tRNA) molecules are approximately 80 nucleotides in length. Their secondary structure includes four short double-helical elements and three loops (D, anti-codon, and T loops).
Source: Rfam by way of RNAcentral
GUCAGGAUGGCCGAGCGGUCUAAGGCGCCAGACUCAAGGUUAAUUACCUUAUCCCGUACACACGGGGUUAACUAGGAGUGUUCUGGUCUCUGAAUGGAGGCGUGGGUUCGAAUCCCACUUCUGACA